AGCGCAGGUGGUUUAUUAAGUCUGGUGUAAAAGGCAGUGGCUCAACCAUUGUAUGCAUUGGAAACUGGUAGACUUGAGUGCAGGAGAGGAGAGUGGAAUUCCAUGUGUAGCGGUGAAAUGCGUAGAUAUAUGGAGGAACACCGGUGGCGAAAGCGGCUCUCUGGCCUGUAACUGACACUGAGGACUCCGAAAGGCGUGGGAGCAAACA
Molecule: ribosomal RNA, 208 nt
Filed under: uncultured bacterium
Lineage: Bacteria
Description: partial 16S ribosomal RNA
Rfam family: Bacterial small subunit ribosomal RNA
Source: RNAcentral